This 748-nucleotide ribosomal RNA is filed under the name Streptococcus sp. HGH0009. RNAcentral describes it as "bacterial SSU rRNA". It matches the Rfam family "Bacterial small subunit ribosomal RNA", at positions 60 to 792 of the family's 1533-position model. Lineage: Bacteria; Bacillati; Bacillota; Bacilli; Lactobacillales; Streptococcaceae. The record is from RNAcentral.
AGUAGACGCUGAAGAGAGGAGCUUGCUCUUCUUGGAUGAGUUGCGAACGGGUGAGUAACGCGUAGGUAACCUGCCUUGUAGCGGGGGAUAACUAUUGGAAACGAUAGCUAAUACCGCAUAACAAUGGAUGACACAUGUCAUUUAUUUGAAAGGGGCAAUUGCUCCACUACAAGAUGGACCUGCGUUGUAUUAGCUAGUAGGUGAGGUAACGGCUCACCUAGGCGACGAUACAUAGCCGACCUGAGAGGGUGAUCGGCCACACUGGGACUGAGACACGGCCCAGACUCCUACGGGAGGCAGCAGUAGGGAAUCUUCGGCAAUGGGGGCAACCCUGACCGAGCAACGCCGCGUGAGUGAAGAAGGUUUUCGGAUCGUAAAGCUCUGUUGUAAGUCAAGAACGAGUGUGAGAGUGGAAAAUUCACACUGUGACGGUAGCUUACCAGAAAGGGACGGCUAACUACGUGCCAGCAGCCGCGGUAAUACGUAGGUCCCGAGCGUUGUCCGGAUUUAUUGGGCGUAAAGCGAGCGCAGGCGGUUUGAUAAGUCUGAAGUUAAAGGCUGUGGCUCAACCAUAGUUCGCUUUGGAAACUGUCAAACUUGAGUGCAGAAGGGGAGAGUGGAAUUCCAUGUGUAGCGGUGAAAUGCGUAGAUAUAUGGAGGAACACCGGUGGCGAAAGCGGCUCUCUGGUCUGUAACUGACGCUGAGGCUCGAAAGCGUGGGGAGCGAACAGGAUUAGAUACCCUGGUA